GGGGGUAUAGUAUAACCUGGUAGUACUGCGGGCUCCAGACCCGCUGAUCUGGGUUCAAAUCCCAGUGCCCCCACCA
Molecule: transfer RNA, 76 nt
Filed under: Candidatus Thalassarchaeum sp.
Lineage: Archaea; Methanobacteriati; Thermoplasmatota; Candidatus Poseidoniia; Candidatus Poseidoniales; Candidatus Thalassarchaeaceae
Description: tRNA-Trp
Rfam family: tRNA
About the family: Transfer RNA (tRNA) molecules are approximately 80 nucleotides in length. Their secondary structure includes four short double-helical elements and three loops (D, anti-codon, and T loops). Further hydrogen bonds mediate the characteristic L-shaped molecular structure. tRNAs have two regions of fundamental functional importance: the anti-codon, which is responsible for specific mRNA codon recognition, and the 3' end, to which the tRNAs corresponding amino acid is attached (by aminoacyl-tRNA synthetases). tRNAs cope with the degeneracy of the genetic code in two manners: having more than one tRNA (with a specific anti-codon) for a particular amino acid; and 'wobble' base-pairing, i.e. permitting non-standard base-pairing at the 3rd anti-codon position.
Source: RNAcentral